GAGUUCAGAUGUGUGCUCUUCCCCUCUUGUGAUCAUCUCUAGUUGCAUCCAUGUUGCUGCAUAUGGCGUUAUUUUGUUCUUUUUUAUGGCUGAGUAGUCAGACCUUAAUUAGUUUUCACCAUUUUUUAUGUGGACUCAACUUUUGUUUGUUUUUGUUUUGGUGUAUAGUUUCAAGGAAUUUUAUCACAUGUUUAGACUUGUGUAGCUACCACCACACACAGGGUACAGAGCAAAUGCUGUUUAUUUAAAGUCUUUUCACUUCACUUCAUGAUUCUUGUCCCCCAAACUGUUUUCAGUCUAGCUAGAUCCAUGGUAAGAAAGUGAAAAGCCUUCGGUUCGGGCUUCC
This is a long non-coding RNA of Aethalodelphis obliquidens (Pacific white-sided dolphin), 346 nucleotides long. RefSeq lists it as uncharacterized. The record is from RefSeq and is a predicted model, not a curated record. NCBI's taxonomy places the organism in Eukaryota, Metazoa, Chordata, Mammalia, Artiodactyla, Delphinidae. The transcript has 4 exons.